This is a long non-coding RNA of Pezoporus occidentalis (night parrot), 2246 nucleotides long. RefSeq lists it as uncharacterized. The record is from RefSeq and is a predicted model, not a curated record. Lineage: Eukaryota; Metazoa; Chordata; Aves; Psittaciformes; Psittacidae. The transcript has 4 exons.
AAUGGUCUACAUAACUAAAAUACCUCAGUAUGUACUUUCAGUUAUGAGAAAUGCUGAUGUUCCCUCACAAAUCAGAAUUGGGCUGGGAAGACUGAAAAUGAAGGUGCUUUCUCUUUGUGUGUCAGAGUGGCAGAAUUAGUGUUUCAAGGAGUGGUGUGUCUGCCUUUUAAACAACUCCUGGGCUAUAUUGCUGGAUCUAAGAAGUCUUACACCUGUAACUUACUAGAACUGCAGUGUAGUGUAACAAGCUGCAGUGAGCUAAAUUGCUGAUAUUUUUGACAUUUGAUUCAUAAUAAAAUACUUCUAAACUCUCAGUAAAACAGUUUGAAAUACCGGUACUUAUUUAAACUAUGCAGUUUUGCUUAUAAAUAAGACAUAUAAAAUAAUAUUCGUCCAACCAUCUUUUCAAUGCAACUCUGGACAUGGUUCUGAUCCAGAGUGAAUUUUUAUUCAUGGAAGGACCCUGACUUUGGAUUAGACUUUACAGCCUACGCAAUUCUUCAGUUUGAGUUGGGAUGCCCCAGAAUGUCUUCCUGAAAACCCCUGGAUUUGUUUCUUCCUUUUUUUUUUUUUUUUUUUUUGUACAAGAGACAAACAGAUACAGUACAAAUGCACUAAGGAGAAGAAAGCAAGGAUACCUUGAGAAGACACUUCUUGAAUCAAGGGCAGUGAAAGGAUCACCAGGGAAACGCAAAGUAUGUUCCAUAUGACCGUUACUUUCAGUGUAUGGACUAAUUCUGCUGAAUAAUAGCUGGAAGAAAAUGGGAUUCAACUAUAGGAAGGAAAGAUUUUCAUGCAAGAUUUGAUUAAUAUGAAGAAUGGGACGUGAUAAGAAGAAUAAGGAAAAUUAACAUGAGAAAGGGUGCUUCAGGUAGGAAAAAGUAGCAGUUGAGUUUGCACUGGCUUCUGGUUAAUUUGUGAAUGAAAGAUGCAGAAAAUUCUUCCAGGCCACAGUUACUUCAUUACCACCUAAAGACUGCUAAUAAAGACACCCAGAAACAGUCACCACUUUGACUGAAGAAUAACAGCCUUGCUUUGGCAAAAUAGCAGUGAAAAAGUGUCAGAAUGUUUUGGGAUGGUUUUUGUUGGUUUUUUUUUUUCAGACUUGGUAUGAAGUAAUUUUCUUGUAACUUGAAGAGUCAUCUGAAACAUCACACUCAGGCUACUAUAAAUAAUCCUUUUAACACAUUCUUGAGCUUUCACUUCUUAUGUAUUCAAGCAAUGGUGGUCUCAGUCCUCCUGGGAAGUUGAACACACACAGCACGACUGCAGCAGCUCAAAACAGAGCACUGAGACUCAGCAACCUGUUAGCAAUUUAAAUGUAACAGGAAGAUUCUGAUAACAAGUAAAAUGGUUGCAGAAAUAUAAAUUACUCAGCAAGGCUAUGGUAUAUUGCAGGUUGUGCUGUGCUGAUCUAAAUCUGAAAAAAGAAUAAUCUGCAGCAAAGGCAGGAUUCUGAGCCUGAUAUGUUGAGGGAAUAAUAAGGCAAAAUGAAGAAAUUUAACCAGCUUUAGUUGUUUAUCAUCCAAAUAUUUUUCUGGUCUAUCAGGAAAUUUAUAGGCAUUGGUCUCUGUUUGCCUAUAUUUAAAUCUGAGGUUAGAACCGAAAUAAUAUUAGGUUUUAGAAAUCUAAAACUGAAAGUUCACCAAUUACUAGUUUCCCAACAGCACAGUUAGCUAGGAGCUCCCUUCCUGCUGGGAGUUCUUUACUUCCCUUACACAGUCCUCUUUCACAGCAUGGGCUACCAUAAUUAAAAGCUACUGUUAGGGUUGGGCAACUGAACUAGUCCCAUACCCUUCCUGAGAUGCUUGAGGUUGGGGUCAAGGUCAAGCUUUGGCAAGAUGAGUCUUCAAGAACUCUGUAGAUUUUAAAAGCCCCAAGAGUUAAAAGAGGUCUGGCAGUAGUAAGGAUUGGUGUUUGUCUGUUUAAAUGAUUCAUCCCGCCUUCUAGACUUCAAAUUAAAUUUAUGGUUUGAAUUAAAGUUAUAUUGUAAGACUCUAGUGAUUCAACUUUGUGGCAUUCAGUUUUAGGAAGUUGUCUGGCAGGGCCUGUUUACUCCCAUAUACUGUUAGGAUUGAUCAAUAUCCAUGUUACUAAGCAUAUUAUUUGUGCUCAGACUUAGGGCUUCUGGCUUGAAGCUCAGGUACUAAGAGGAUAAAAGGAGGGCUUAGGAUUGAAGAUGAUCUUCUGUGUUAUUGUUGGUAUUGAUCUCCCAAGUAACAUCUGGGUUUAGGGGUUCAUGUUAU